RNAcentral lists this ribosomal RNA (429 nucleotides) under Chloroflexota bacterium. RNAcentral's name for it is "Chloroflexi bacterium partial 16S ribosomal RNA". It matches the Rfam family "Bacterial small subunit ribosomal RNA", at positions 355 to 776 of the family's 1533-position model. The record is from RNAcentral. Lineage: Bacteria; Bacillati; Chloroflexota.
UGGGGAAUAUUGCACAAUGGGCGCAAGCCUGAUGCAGCCAUGCCGCGUGUAUGAAGAAGGCCUUCGGGUUGUAAAGUACUUUCAGUCGGGAGGAAGGUGGUAAGGUUAAUAACCUUAUCAAUUGACGUUACCGACAGAAGAAGCACCGGCUAACUCCGUGCCAGCAGCCGCGGUAAUACGGAGGGUGCAAGCGUUAAUCGGAAUUACUGGGGGUAAAGCGCACGCAGGCGGUUUGUUAAGUCAGAUGUGAAAUCCCCGGGCUCAACCUGGGAACUGCAUCUGAUACUGGCAAGCUUGAGUCUCGUAGAGGGGGGUAGAAUUCCAGGUGUAGCGGUGAAAUGCGUAGAGAUCUGGAGGAAUACCGGUGGCGAAGGCGGCCCCCUGGACGAAGACUGACGCUCAGGUGCGAAAGCGUGGGGAGCAAACAGG